Molecule: long non-coding RNA, 257 nt
Organism: Atta colombica
Lineage: Eukaryota; Metazoa; Arthropoda; Insecta; Hymenoptera; Formicidae
Exons: 3
Source: RefSeq, a predicted model, not a curated record
UAGCGAUUUUCCACCAAUUCCUUUGCCAUUAGUUAGCCAUCGCCGGCGCCCAGACUAAGGCACUAUAAACCAAUACAGCAAGUUGUCGACGAAUAUUAUUCGCAGGAAAUUUAAAUAAUCGAAUAUCUUUUUCUGAUCUAUUGAGUUUACCGCAAUGCAACAAGUUCAGCGGCGGAGUGAGAACAGAGCAAGGGAGAAUAUCAUCAAAGAGAAUAUCACCGCAAUCUCAAUGAUACAAUUUAUAAUUUAUAAAACAU